RNAcentral lists this ribosomal RNA (253 nucleotides) under uncultured bacterium. RNAcentral describes it as "partial 16S ribosomal RNA". It matches the Rfam family "Bacterial small subunit ribosomal RNA", at positions 524 to 776 of the family's 1533-position model. The record is from RNAcentral.
UACGGGGGGGGUAAGCGUUGUCCGGAUUUACUGGGCGUAAAGAGCGCGCAGGCGGUCGUUCAAGUCGCGUGUGAAAGCCCCCGGCUCAACUGGGGAGGGUCACGCGAUACUGAUCGACUCGAAGGCAGGAGAGGGUAGUGGAAUUCCCGGUGUAGUGGUGAAAUGCGUAGAUAUCGGGAGGAACACCAGUGGCGAAGGCGACUACCUGGCCUGUUCUUGACGCUGAGGCGCGAAAGCUAGGGGAGCAAACGGG